AGCUCCGAUAGCGUAUAUUAAAGUUGUUGCAGUUAAAAAGCUCGUAGUUGAACUUCUAAAGGUGGAACACGCUUCAUGGCUGUUGUGAUACCUUUAUCCGCUUUGAUUUAGCAAUACGGGCUUUGUUGACCGAUUGUGUAAUCAAGCAAUUUACUUUGAAAAAAUUAGAGUGUUUCAAGCAGGCGAUUUGCUGGAAUACAUUAGCAUGGAAUAAUAGAACACGACCUCUGAGGCAUUUUAUUGGUAUAUGACUGGAGGUAAUGAUUAACAGGGACAGUUGGGGGCAUUAGUAUUGCAUUGUCAGAGGUGAAAUUCAUUGAUUAGUGCAAGACUAACUUAUGCGAAAGCAUUUG
Molecule: ribosomal RNA, 353 nt
Filed under: uncultured eukaryote
Lineage: Eukaryota
Description: SSU rRNA
Rfam family: Eukaryotic small subunit ribosomal RNA
Source: RNAcentral